This 178-nucleotide small RNA is filed under the name Gopherus agassizii (Agassiz's desert tortoise). RNAcentral describes it as "TUC338 (ENSGAGG00000005462.1)". The record is from RNAcentral. Lineage: Eukaryota; Metazoa; Chordata; Testudines; Testudinidae.
GUUAACAGUCUGGGGAAUGAGUCCUGUAUUUAUUAACAGAAUAAUCACAACAUGGACAAUGAAAGCGCAAUUGAAAUGUGUGUACUGCCUCAUCAAUAAAGCCCCAGCUCUGACCUGGAGAUAUCAGCUCUAAUGAGGGGGUAGUUCAGUCUCCAUGCUCACUCAUUCCUUGUCUUCU